GAUGAAGAACGUAGCGAAAUGCGAUAAGUAAUGUGAAUUGCAGAAUUCAGUGAAUCAUCGAAUCUUUGAACGCACAUUGCGCCCGCCAGUAUUCUGGCGGGCAUGCCUGUUCGAGCGUCAUUUCAACCGUCAAGCCCCCGGCUUGUGUUGGGGACCUGCGGCUGCCGCAGGCCCUGAAAAGCAGUGGCGGGCUCGCUGUCACACCGAGCGUAGUAGCAUACAUCUCGCUCUGGGCGUGCUGCGGGUUCCGGCCGUUAAACCACCUUCAUAACCCAAGGUUGACCUCGGAUCAGGUAGGAAGACCCGCUGAACUUAAGCAUAUCAAUAAGCGGAGGA
RNAcentral lists this unclassified non-coding RNA (336 nucleotides) under soil metagenome. Its description in RNAcentral is "partial contains 5.8S ribosomal RNA, internal transcribed spacer 2, and large subunit ribosomal RNA". The stretch from base 1 to 120 matches the Rfam family "5.8S ribosomal RNA", at positions 35 to 154 of the family's 154-position model. The record is from RNAcentral.